This 423-nucleotide ribosomal RNA is filed under the name uncultured bacterium. RNAcentral's name for it is "bacterial SSU rRNA". It matches the Rfam family "Bacterial small subunit ribosomal RNA", at positions 335 to 755 of the family's 1533-position model. The record is from RNAcentral.
ACUCCUACGGGAGGCAGCAGUGGGGAAUAUUGCACAAUGGGGAAACCCUGAUGCAGCCAUGCCGCGUGUGUGAAGAAGGCCUUCGGUUGUAAAGCACUUUCAGUAGGGAGGAAGGUAGUGUAGUUAACACCUGCACUAUUUGACGUUACCUACAGAAGAAGCACCGGCUAACUCCGUGCCAGCAGCCGCGGUAAUACGGAGGUGCGAGCGUUAAUCGGAAUUACUGGGCGUAAAGCGCAUGCAGGCGGCCUGUUAAGUCAGAUGUGAAAGCCCGGGGCUUAACCUCGGAAUUGCAUUUGAAACUGGCAGGCUAGAGUCUUGUAGAGGGGGUAGAAUUUCAGGUGUAGCGGUGAAAUGCGUAGAGAUCUGAAGGAAUACCAGUGGCGAAGGCGGCCCCUGGACAAAGACUGACGCUCAGAUGCG